RNAcentral lists this ribosomal RNA (286 nucleotides) under uncultured Actinomycetes bacterium. Its description in RNAcentral is "uncultured actinobacterium partial 16S ribosomal RNA". It matches the Rfam family "Bacterial small subunit ribosomal RNA", at positions 233 to 528 of the family's 1533-position model. The record is from RNAcentral. Lineage: Bacteria; Bacillati; Actinomycetota; Actinomycetes.
GCGGCCUAUCAGCUUGUUGGUGANCCAAUGGCUCACCAAGGCGACGACGGGUAGCCGGCCUGAGAGGGCGACCGGCCACACUGGGACUGAGACACGGCCCAGACUCCUACGGGAGNCAGCAGUGGGGAAUAUUGGGCAAUGGAGGAAACUCUGACCCANCGACGCCNCGUGCGGGAUGAAGGCCUUCGGGUUGUAAACCGCUUUCAGCAGGGAAGAAGCGAAAGUGACGGUACCUGCCGAAAGAAGCACCGGGCUAACUAUGUGCCAACCAGCCGCGGUAAUACAU